RNAcentral lists this ribosomal RNA (253 nucleotides) under uncultured bacterium. RNAcentral describes it as "partial 16S ribosomal RNA". It matches the Rfam family "Bacterial small subunit ribosomal RNA", at positions 524 to 776 of the family's 1533-position model. The record is from RNAcentral.
UACAGAGGGGGCAAGCGUUGUUCGGAAUUACUGGGCGUAAAGGGCGCGUAGGCGGCCACCUCAGUCGGACGUGAAAUCCCCGGGCUCAACCCGGGAACUGCGUCCGAUACUGGGUGGCUAGAGUCCGGGAGAGGGAAGUGGAAUUCCAGGUGUAGCGGUGAAAUGCGUAGAUAUCUGGAGGAACACCGGUGGCGAAGGCGACAUCCUGGACCGGCAUUGACGCUGAGGCGCGAAAGCCAGGGGAGCAAACGGG